RNAcentral lists this ribosomal RNA (253 nucleotides) under uncultured bacterium. RNAcentral describes it as "partial 16S ribosomal RNA". It matches the Rfam family "Bacterial small subunit ribosomal RNA", at positions 524 to 776 of the family's 1533-position model. The record is from RNAcentral.
UACGUAGGUGGCAAGCGAUACUCGGAAUCACUAGGCGUAAAGCGCAGGUAGGCGGUUCGGUAAGUCUUUUGUGAAAGCUCCUGGCUCAACUGGGAGAGGUCAAAGGAAACUACCGGGCUAGAGUUUGGUAGGGGAUACUGGAAUUCCUGGUGUAGCGGUGAAAUGCGUAGAUAUCAGGAGGAAUACCUAUGGCGAAAGUAGGUAUCUGGGCCACAACUGACGCUGAGCUGCGAAAGCUAGGGGAGCAAACAGG